RNAcentral lists this ribosomal RNA (205 nucleotides) under Taenia polyacantha. RNAcentral describes it as "partial 12S ribosomal RNA". The record is from RNAcentral. Lineage: Eukaryota; Metazoa; Platyhelminthes; Cestoda; Cyclophyllidea; Taeniidae.
GUGUAAAGGAUGUUCCGCCUAUUAAUUUACUUUAUUUAUGUUGGUGUAUAUCUGGUUUAAUAUUAUUGUUUAAUAAUUUAAUUUGUGUAUUGUUAAAUUAAGCCAAGUCUAUGUGCUGCUUAUUAAAGUAUUCAUGCGUUACAUUUAUAAGGUUACAUUUGUAAAAAUGUAAUAUUCAGGACUUAAAAGUAAUAUUAAAUUAAUU